UUCCCAAAUUGAGGAACCCUAACCCUAAUGAUUCCCUUUCCUCAGCUUCUGAACGCAGCCUCCACCCCCCUUCUUCCAAAACGCAAUACACACACAAAACAAAGAAAGAAACGGAAACAAAGAGGCAAGAGAGAGGGAAGAGCUGCUGCCCUAUUGCCGCCGCAAGGAGCCCGUGCCACCAUCGUCGUCAUCCUCGUGAACUGUAGCGUCGCCGUUCAACCUCGUCCCGCCGCGUCUCCAUGGUCGCCAUUUCUGCGAGCUCGCCACCGUCGAGAAGCUGCCGUCGCAUCUUGUCCCGCCGUCACCACCGUUGCCCUGGAGCUCGCCCGCCGUCGUCGUUGAGGGGCCAGUAGAGAGAGAGAACGAACGCGGGUCAGGGUCGCCACCAAGGAGAGGAGCUGUGCUCCACGCCACCGUCGCCGAGCCGUUGCAUCGCCGGACAUCAUCGCUGGAGGACCGAAUGGAGUAACUAGCCGGUUCUGCUUCUGCCUCUGGUUUCUAGAAUCUGAGAAGACGCUACUGCCACUGCUGGAACUGUUGGUUUUGCUUCUCUGGCCUUGUUCUGGCUCCACUGUAAACCGUUACCGCCACUGGAGCUGCCCGAAAACCCUGUUGUUGCUACUCCGUUAUUUUAUUAGUGAAGAGUGAUCAGAAAUAAUGCUGCUGCUGUUGACCGGAGGUGCUAAACUGUUGCCGCUACUACUUUGGGAUGAUAUGGCUGCUAUUAAAGUUGUUGUUGAUGAGUGCAGCAUUCCCAAUUUCUAUGGAUUUCGACUGACUGAGUGACACAGGUUCGAAGACUCCGUUUGAAGCUGCGGGAGAUUAUAGAAUUUACUUAUGAGAAGUGGUGAUUACAAUGAAGAGAUGUAUCAAGGAUGGGACAACCAAAGGUGGGAGGAGCCAUAUGCAUAUGAUCAAUCCUCAUGGCAACAACCUCCACCAAUGCACUAUGGAGAAGAGUCAUUCUAUGAUGCAUACCAAUCUAAUGGCUAUGGUAUUUUCUGGCUGAAAUUGAGGAGUUUGAGCAAAAGUCUAAUUCAGAAGCAGAGAAAGCACUGCAGAUGGUGUCAGGAUCUGACCUUCAUGUACUCGAACGAGCUUUUCUGGAGUUACAGAGGUCCAAAUGGCACACUCUCAAUGGCUAUGGAAAGCUAACAUCUAGGAACUUCCAGAAAUAUAUAAUAGUCUAUACUUUGCUUUGGAAAUGAAGGCCCAAAACUGGCGUUCAACGCCAGCCACUAGCCCUAUUCCUGGCGUCCAGCACCCACAGGGGAGCAGCUGGCGUCCAACGCCCAGAAUGGAGUCCCUAGCUAGCAUUCAAUGCCCUUAAGGGAUACUAGCUCGUGAGAAACACUCAAACUCAGUCCAAACACUCACCAAGUGGGCCCUAGAAGUGGAUUUUCACACUACAAGACUUGUUUAUCUUAUUUCUGUAAUUCCUAGUUAGCAGAUUAGUAUAUAUAUAUACAAGAGUUCACCCUUGUUAGGGGACUCUUGCCCAUUUUUACUUUUUCCAUUGUAUUUUCGAACAGCAUGAGUCACUAACCUCCUAAGGUUAAGGUUAGGAGCUCUGCUGAGUUUCAUGGAUCAAUAGUAUUACUAUUUUCAUUCAAUAUGUAUGAUUCUAUUCUCUUAUGCAACCUCGUUCUUCAUCUCAUAAAUUGAGGGUGACAUGUGACAAUCACCCAUGUUCUAUAUGAGUUCCGUGCGAUUCCUGGCCCGUAUAGCAUUGAACUAAAGCUAGAGAAUAUAUUGCGGAUUUCAAUAGAGCAUCUGAGCAACUUUGGAUAUGUGACAUAUAAUCCCAUUGACUAUGGGUGCGUGAAGUUUCUGUGGCGUUAAGGCUAGAGCCAAAGAAGUAACACUUUCUUAUCCGGAGGAUCUGCCUUGUUUGUGGCACCUUGAGUAGGAUUGUGAAGGGGAGUAGACUGCUUAGAGCUUUAUCUUCUGCUACAGUGAGAAACCUGGAGGUGGCUUGAUGAGAGGACAUGAGUCAUCUCAAUGUGGUAGAUUGCUGUAGUAGA
This is an RNA transcript of Arachis stenosperma, 2024 nucleotides long. RefSeq lists it as uncharacterized. The record is from RefSeq and is a predicted model, not a curated record. NCBI's taxonomy places the organism in Eukaryota, Viridiplantae, Streptophyta, Magnoliopsida, Fabales, Fabaceae. The transcript is spliced from 5 exons.